RNAcentral lists this ribosomal RNA (460 nucleotides) under uncultured bacterium. RNAcentral describes it as "partial 16S ribosomal RNA". It matches the Rfam family "Bacterial small subunit ribosomal RNA", at positions 338 to 795 of the family's 1533-position model. The record is from RNAcentral.
CCUACGGGAGGCAGCAGUGAGGAAUAUUGGUCAAUGGGCGCAAGCCUGAACCAGCCAAGUAGCGUGCAGGAUGACGGCCCUACGGGUUGUAAACUUCUUUUAUACGGGAAUAAAGUGACUCACGUGUAACCUUUUGCAUGUACUUUAUGAAUAAGGAUCGGCUAACUCCGUGCCAGCAGCCGCGGUAAUACGGAAGAUCCGAGCGUUAUCCGGAUUUAUUGGGUUUAACGGGAGCGUAGGUGGGUUGUUAAGGCAGCUGUGAAAGGUCCGGGCUCAACCGGACAAGUGCAAUGGAGACUGGCAGGCGUGAGUACAGUUGAGGGAGGCGGAAUUCGGGGUGUAGCGGUGAAAGGCUUAGAUAUCACGAAGAACUCCGAUUGCGAAGGCAGCCUACUGAACUGCGACUGACGCUGAUGCUCGAAAGCGUGGGUAUCAAACAGGAUUAGAUACCCUAGUAGUC